This 214-nucleotide long non-coding RNA is filed under the name Mytilus galloprovincialis (Mediterranean mussel). The record is from RNAcentral. Lineage: Eukaryota; Metazoa; Mollusca; Bivalvia; Mytilida; Mytilidae.
GUGUGUGAAUUUUUUCUUAAUUAGAAUGUGAGGCAAUGUGGUAUACAGGGUAGAAAAAUCAAAACUCUGAACAGAUUCAAAAUCACCAAUAUAAGCAUGCAAUUUAUCAAGUACUUCCAACGAGUUCUUGACACUCCAAAAGUAAUUUAUUCCACUAUUUUCGAAGGCCUUAUUUGAACAAUUUAUUAUCAGGUUUUUAAUUAUACCAAGUGUG